Amphimedon queenslandica is the source of this 460-nucleotide long non-coding RNA. RefSeq lists it as uncharacterized. The record is from RefSeq and is a predicted model, not a curated record. The transcript is spliced from 3 exons. NCBI's taxonomy places the organism in Eukaryota, Metazoa, Porifera, Demospongiae, Haplosclerida, Niphatidae.
CCUUGCAGCACUCAGAUAUUUUGAAUUAGAUGCAGUGCUCUUACUGAGGGAAAGGGUGUCUAGACAAUAUCCAGUAAUACUAUAGUCUUGUCAUCCCACCCCUCACUUUGGGGCUGGGCGACGAGACUAGUAAUGCUAUAAUAUGAAAUGUGCAUUAUAUUCCUUUCAGACUGAUUUACACAACCUGAAAUACGAUUUCUCACAAUGUUAUAUUGUAGCAGCAGUGGGAGGAUAUGUCAUGGAAUACUUGGAGAGUCAUACACACCCUCCACCAGUAUGAGAGAAAUACUGAGCUACAUUUAUGGACUGUUAAUGUGUCCUGAUACUGAUACACCCCUUGACAGUACACUUGCUGGAGAAUAUGGAUACCAGAGUGGUAGAGAAAAGGGUUAUCCUGAUUACUUUCAAGCAGCAAGUGAAUAUUUUUUUAGAAAAGCCACAGAAAAAUAAAUGUCAAAUU